GACGAACGCUGGCGGCGUGCCUAAUACAUGCAAGUUGAGCGCUGAAGGUUGGUACUUGUACCAACUGGAUGAGCAGCGAACGGGUGAGUAACGCGUGGGGAAUCUGCCUUUGAGCGGGGGACAACAUUUGGAAACGAAUGCUAAUACCGCAUAAAAACUUUAAACACAAGUUUUAAGUUUGAAAGAUGCAAUUGCAUCACUCAAAGAUGAUCCCGCGUUGUAUUAGCUAGUUGGUGAGGUAAAGGCUCGCCAAGGCGAUGAUACAUAGCCGACCUGAGAGGGUGAUCGGUCACAUUGGGACUGAGACACGGCCCAAACUCCUACGGGAGGCAGCAGUAGGGAAUCUUCGGCAAUGGACGAAAGUCUGACCGAGCAACGCCGCGUGAGUGAAGAAGGUUGUCGGAUCGUAAAACUCUGUUGGUAGAGAAGAACGUUGGUGAGAGUGGAAAGCUCAUCAAGUGACGGUAACUACCCAGAAAGGGACGGCUAACUACGUG
Molecule: ribosomal RNA, 497 nt
Filed under: uncultured bacterium
Lineage: Bacteria
Description: partial 16S ribosomal RNA
Rfam family: Bacterial small subunit ribosomal RNA
Source: RNAcentral